ACCCUGUGCUAAAUGUAAUUGUUUUAUUCUUCAUGGUUAGACGAUAUUAAUACAUUGGUUUGGAUUAUGUGAUGAUAGAAGUUCCAUUGUUCUAAAUAUCAUUUCCCUCUGCAUGAUGCUGCACUUUAAAAUAUCAUCAUUUGUGUAGAUGUAAUGUAAGGGAUUGUUAUACUUUUUAUUUAUAACAAUAUAAUAUCAUUACUGAUAUUAAAAUUAAAAAAAAUGCAGUAUAAGGGAGAGAUCCACUACCUAAUACGUUGGAUCUAACAAAAGAAGGAUAUACAACAGUAUAAACAACAACAACAAUAAAUACAUGAAGCCCCUAUUUCCAAAACAGCAACCCAAAUAAAUGCACAAUGCUGCACUUUAAUAUUGAUUUUUCAUAUAUUCUUAAGUUCCUCCAAAAUUAGCAUCAUUUUUUGUUUUUCUUGGUCUUUGUCUGCCAAAAGAGGGAAAUGCAUGGUAUAUGCAAAUAUAGAUAAAUUUUUAAAUGAAAUUAUAGGGAUCUUAUAUUUCUGGUCUUGAGCUCAUAAGCUAAAAGGAUUUCUUUUUCCUUACAGAAUUUGUGUGUAACUGAGAGUUUGUAAUUCAAGGAGACUGGUGUCUGUUCAUUCUUGGUUGGGAUAUACUCUCCAUCCAGGUAUAUCAGAGUAAAUUUGCAAGUAGGAAUGCAAUCUGAAAGAUGUCAGUUGGGUGGUGGUGCAGCUUUGAUCAGUAUUAUUCCAUUAGUCCUCCAUUUGGAAUAGCGUAU
This is a non-coding RNA of Nelumbo nucifera (sacred lotus), 751 nucleotides long. The record is from RefSeq and is a predicted model, not a curated record. NCBI's taxonomy places the organism in Eukaryota, Viridiplantae, Streptophyta, Magnoliopsida, Proteales, Nelumbonaceae.